UCGAGCGAGUCUGCCUUGAAGAUCGGAGUGCUUGCACUCUGUGAAACAAGAUACAGGCUAGCGGCGGACGGGUGAGUAACACGUGGGUAACCUGCCCAAGAGAUCGGGAUAACACCUGGAAACAGAUGCUAAUACCGGAUAACAACAGAUGAUGCCUAUCAACUGUUUAAAAGAUGGUUCUGCUAUCACUCUUGGAUGGACCUGCGGUGCAUUAGCUAGUUGGUAGGGUAACGGCCUACCAAGGCGAUGAUGCAUAGCCGAGUUGAGAGACUGAUCGGCCACAUUGGGACUGAGACACGGCCCAAACUCCUACGGGAGGCAGCAGUAGGGAAUCUUCCACAAUGGACGCAAGUCUGAUGGAGCAACGCCGCGUGAGUGAAGAAGGGUUUCGGCUCGUAAAGCUCUGUUGUUGGUGAAGAAGGACAGGGGUAGUAACUGACCUUUGUUUGACGGUAAUCAAUUAGAAAGUCACGGCUAACUACGUGCCAGCAGCCGCGGUAAUACGUAGGUGGCAAGCGUUGUCCGGAUUUAUUGGGCGUAAAGCGAGUGCAGGCGGUUCGAUAAGUCUGAUGUGAAAGCCUUCGGCUCAACCGGAGAAUUGCAUCAGAAACUGUCGAGCUUGAGUACAGAAGAGGAGAGUGGAACUCCAUGUGUAGCGGUGAAAUGCGUAGAUAUAUGGAAGAACACCGGUGGCGAAGGCGGCUCUCUGGUCUGUUACUGACGCUGAGGCUCGAAAGCAUGGGUAGCGAACAGGAUUAGAUACCCUGGUAGUCCAUGCCGUANACGAUGAGUGCUAAGUGUUGGGAGGUUUCCGCCUCUCAGUGCUGCAGCUAACGCAUUAAGCACUCCGCCUGGG
Molecule: ribosomal RNA, 856 nt
Filed under: uncultured bacterium
Lineage: Bacteria
Description: bacterial SSU rRNA
Rfam family: Bacterial small subunit ribosomal RNA
Source: RNAcentral